Molecule: long non-coding RNA, 3897 nt
Filed under: Mus musculus (house mouse)
Lineage: Eukaryota; Metazoa; Chordata; Mammalia; Rodentia; Muridae
Description: RIKEN cDNA D830044D21 gene
Source: RNAcentral
AGUGUCUCCAGCUUACCGGGACCACGUUAUGUGCCUAAGGACAUCUAGCCAAGGGGCUCAUGAAACCCCUAGACUCCCACCUCCACAGACUAUUUGUAUUAUAUGAAGGUUGGACCAGCCCUGAGAGGAAGCUGUAGUAUCUUUUAACGGAUCCAUCCAUCUCAGAGGUGUACCGUUGCAGUGGACGUUGGAUGUUCCUGCUCAAAAGAUGCUGGGAAGGGCCAGCUGGAGGUCAGCUAUCCAGUAAAUAUAGGAACACCACCUGCAGACAGCCUCACCCGGGCUGCACCACACCAUGGGAGGUCACAUCACCGGAGGUGUUCACGUGCAUUCCCACAAGGCCUGCGGAUCUCCAUCGCUGUAUCAUUCACUGACUAUACUGUUUGUGGCUUUGGGCCUGAAGUUCCUCCGGGCCUCAUCUUUACAUACCUGAAUCAAAUCCAGUGUUGGGUCACAUGAGGCAGAUGGGGCACUGACUUUCUAAUGAACUCUUGAAUGUAGCCUUGGAUGUCUUCAAGAGAAGCAAAGCCACCAAGAAGUGUGACAGUGAUGUGAAGGACCCAGCACCUUAUUUAUGAUCCCGAACAUCUACUAGACAUCACACACUCAUCUGGGACAAGAAACUGUCCCAACAAAAUGCUUUGUUCCUGACUAGAAUAGAAUACUCUUUAAUAGCACCAGGUAUUUUAUAGGGAACAAAAUCUAUAACUGACAUGGGAUAAAUGUGUGUCUGUGGUUAUUGUGUUUUGUUUUGGAUGAGGAGUAAGUAGAAUUAUCAGCUACAUUACAUGGAUUUUUUUUGUAAAAAAUUAAGUUUCUUUGGUGGUAAAAAUGGGAGAUACUAAUUCUGUUGUUUUCUUCAUCUCUCCGGGUUUAAUGGGCACCUAUUGUAUGCAAGCUAGUGUCUUAGAUGCUCCAGAAACACUAGGGAGGAAGAUAGGCCAGAUACUGCCUUUCUUACGAUUAGUUUCUAUGGGGGAGAAUGAUAAUAAAGCAAUGAAUACCAAGAAGACACCAGCUACGAUUUCCCCCAUCUCUAGUACUCAGAAAUGCAUUCUGAGGAGCAGUCUAGAUCAGCAGUUCUCAAACUGUGGGUCGUGACCCCUGGUGGGGGGUGUCAAACCAUAUCUUCACAGGGGUUGCAUAUCAGAUAUCCGGUGUAUCUGAUAUUCACAUUUUGAUUCAUAACACUAGCAAAAUUACAGUUAUGAAGUAACAGUAAAAAUAACUAUGGAUGGCGGUGUUAGGAAGGAUGAGAACCACUGCUCUAGAUGGAUUGGUGGGAGUAUGUCCUCUGCAAAGAGGUCACAUACACUGACUCCAAGUGACAGAACACUUUAAGGAAGCAAAGACAUGCAAAUGUGUCCCAGUGCAGGGAGAGAUGUGAGAUUUGUGUUGUCUUUCGACUUAUUUUUCUAUGUCUCUUUCUGGGUCCCUGUGACAAGAAGAAAAUGUCUACUUUAUUUACCAACACAUGCACAGUGCCCACACGCAGCUCCUGCUUGGCACACAAAUGCUCAAUAUCUAUUAAUGAAUAACAAAGGGCCCUUGACCUACCAUUCCUUUUUCCCCAAGGGCAGAGCAGGUCGGUCCUGCGGGUAUGGGCUGUGCCCAUCAUGUGGGAGAAUGGAGAGAGUAGGAAGCUGGUUUCCUCAUAGAGCCUGGCAAUGGCAGGCUUAGGAAUCUAGGACUGCCUGCCUGAGGCCACGCCUCUGCCCGAGGCCACGCCUCUGCCCGAGGCCACGCCUCUGCCCGAGGCCACGCCUCUGCCCGCCCUUGUACAGCUUCAUGUUGAGGCUGCUUGUUUUCUGAGCUGACAGGAAUCUGAGGCAGACUUGGUUGAAUUCACCUGCAAUCUUCUGAAAGUGUGACCAGGGUCUUAGCUACAAAGUAAGUUCUGGGUAAAAGGAAGCUUCUGAUUGAGAGUUCAAAUGCCCCUAAAGCCAAGACAGGUAAGAAAGCCCUUGGCUGCCUCCUGCGGUACAAGGAUGGGAAGAGCUAGCUGAUGUUCUGUUCUGGGGUAGCUGGAUCUUUAACCAAAUGACCACCAUCAUAUCUGCGUUAAAAAAAAAAAAGCCAGCCACACCUUUAUGCCUAGCACCCUGGAGGAAGAGGCAGGUGGAUCUCUAGGAGCUGAAGGCUAAGCUUGGUCUACAUAGUGAAUUCCCAGACAACCAGAGAGCUAUACAGGGAGACCUGCCUCAAAAAAGUGCUCCCCCCAAAAAACCCAAACACACACACACCAACUGCUGGUUUUAGGCAGGUUUGAAAUAUUUGAGGGCUCAUUUCUUGCCAUGUGUCUUACUUACAUUUAUGCCUUACAUCUGUUUUGUAAAGUCCCAAGAUAUUUCAAGUCUUAAGGCCCUGUACUGGUAUCUCAAGUUCUACCCGUAUGGAUUCAAUGUGGCAUGUUUUGCUCUUUCUCCAAAUGUUUGAAGUGGGUUUGUCUCAUUUACCUAAUGCAAUGUAACAAGUGACCUCAAAACUUUGAGGCUUAAAAUAACAGUGGGUUGUUUCUGACCGGGUGGAUCUUCUGCCUUAAGCUAGGGCGGUAAGGAUCUGAAGUCUCCUGGAAGCCUGACCCGGGUCUGGGCUGGGGUUGGAACGGCUGGAAUGCGGAUGUUUUAGGAACUGGAUGGACCUUGACUAGGAGUUGAAUCAGGACUGUCUGCUGUGGACCUUGGUUCUUCUCUUCGUGGCAACUGCAUGUGGCUUCCUGUAUCGCCUCACAGCCUAGUGGCUGGCUUCCAAGAAGGACUAUGCCAACAGUAAGCAUUCCAAGAUGGAGGAAGUGGAAGCUGCCAGAGCCAUUAAGGGUCAGCUUGGAAACUGGCCAAGUAUCACUUCCUCUGUAUUUUAUUAGUGAAAGCGCUGAGGAGCUGGCCUGCAGUUCGUGUAGGAGAGACCUGCAGAACAGCCUCUCCGAGGAAUGUGUCCAUCUGGGUCAUUCAAAUCGUAGUUGAGGAUGUUUAAAAAUAGCUGUUCUUUUGUUAUCUCAGAUAAACGAAACGUGAAAUAAAUAACCACGUGGCCCAGCAAUCUCUCUUCUGGGUAAAGGGGUCGAAAGAAAGGCCUUGAAGAUGCGUCUGCAUACCCAUGUUUAUAGCUAUGUUAUUCACCAUGGCCAAAAGGUGUAAUGGGCCUCUUUUCCAUUGGUGGGUGCAUGGCUAAACAAAAUAUGAUGCUGUCUUCAUUCUUUUGGCCUACUAUAACAAAAUAUCAGUGACUGGGUGGCUUAUAAGCAAGAGAAGUUUGUUUCUUAAUGUGAUGGAGACAAGGCAAUCUAAGAUCUAAGUACAGGUAGAUUUAGUUUCUGGUAAGAGCUCUCUUUGACUUUUCUCGUUACAGAAUUUUUACACGGUGGCAAGUGUGAGCAAUCUCUGUGUGGUAUAUUUCAAUUCUACACUUGUCCCUUGUGAUCCAUCACCUCCCAAAGUCUCUGCCUCCUAAUAUUACUAGGAUUUGUAAUAUUGGGUGCUAGGAUUUCAGCAUAUAAAUGUGUGGAGGAGACAAAUGGUCAGACCACUGUAGACCUGUGUAUACAGGGGCAUAUUGUUUAUCCUUAAAAUGAAGUGAAAUUUGUAAUGUGGAUGAGACUGGAAUGGACCUAUGUUAGGUAAAAAUAAGCUAAGGGGAAAGAAAAGAACAUUGUGUGAGUCUCUUGAUGGGCGGGCGGGGCUUAGAGCAGCCAAAUCAGCAGACAGAAAGGACAGAGGUUACUAAGGGCUGGAGGAGAAGGGAAUGGAAGUGACUGCUUUGGGUGUAGUUUCAUUUGAGGACAUAGAUAAAAAAUAUUGUAACUGAUUAAUCUGCUGAACUGUACACUUAAAAUACUUCAAUGGUGAGUGAAUUCAUUAUACAUUUCUUAUAAAUGUACACAAUAAAAACAUUGUUCUG